This 253-nucleotide ribosomal RNA is filed under the name uncultured bacterium. RNAcentral's name for it is "partial 16S ribosomal RNA". It matches the Rfam family "Bacterial small subunit ribosomal RNA", at positions 524 to 776 of the family's 1533-position model. The record is from RNAcentral.
UACAGAGGGGCCAAGCGUUGUUCGGAAUUACUGGGCGUAAAGAGCGUGUAGGCGGCCCGGUAAGUCCGCUGUGAAAGUCGGGGGCUCAACCCUCGAAUGCCGGUGGAUACUGCUGGGCUAGAGUGCGGGAGAGGCGAGUGGAAUUCCUGGUGUAGCGGUGAAAUGCGCAGAUAUCAGGAGGAACACCGAUUGCGAAGGCAGCUCGCUGGAACGUGACUGACGCUGAGACGCGAAAGCGUGGGGAGCAAACAGG